This 199-nucleotide long non-coding RNA is filed under the name Populus trichocarpa (black cottonwood). RNAcentral's name for it is "long non-coding RNA (PTRI_LNC000076)". The record is from RNAcentral. Lineage: Eukaryota; Viridiplantae; Streptophyta; Magnoliopsida; Malpighiales; Salicaceae.
CAGAUCACCCUUGUUACCGCGGCUAUAUAUAGCUUUGUUGUUGAUGGCAACUGCCCCAUACAGUCAGCCUUCCUUUUGUAAUGGAGCUCUUCAUUGGCGUUCUAAUAAUAUUGAAUAUUGUUUUGCCAUUACUGCUUUAGAUUCUGCUCCUGGAGAAGGAAACUGUGGGAGGUGCCAUUAUGGUCGCCCUUGUGCAGCU